GCAAACAUUUAGUGAGUCUGAUAUGCAUCUGGGACUAUAAUGGGUCUUAACAUUCUCUUCUAAUUUUUGCAACACAUCUGCACUUUCUUGGUAGGAUGUUGGAGAACUGAGAGGUUAAGAAAGUUUCCUAAGGUCACAGACCCCUUUAAUGGUAACAGUUGGAAAGGAAGCCCAAUCCCUCCCUUGGCAUUAGUUUCUUUAGUGAUGUUAGACACUUUCUAGACACCAGUAACAUAUUGUUACUUUCUUAUUUUCCACAAUGCCAAGUAAAUGGUGAGCUCUUAAUUUCUGCCUACCUUCUCAACCCCGCAGAAAACGCUACUUAAAAACGCCCUUCCAUAUUGCAUGAAUACAAGAGGUGACUCCACUCAUUAGUGGCAAAGCUGAGGGUCAUGCCUAUUUUUUAAAAAAAAUUAUAACAAGGCAGGGGUGGGGGAAGGCGACGAGUGCCACGGUGUACGUGUGGACAUCAGAGGACAACCUGUGGGAGUCAGUUCUCUACUUCACUAGAGACCAGGAAGAGAAACGGCUGCCCCCCCCUUAGACUGGCUACCUGUCUUCGUGAGUAUCCCGCCCCCUGCCCAAGCCACCUUGACACUUGGUCCUCCGGGACGCUCCUAGAAGAGGAAGACCCUGCAUCUCAGGGACCUCCUCCUGGGGAGGGCGGGCUGAUCCACACGGGGACAGGGACACAGGGCGCGCGGCCCGAGUCGGGAGCCCCGUUCCACGUGGCGGAGCCAAGUGGCAGCGAUCGAGGCGGGAGCGGGAAGCGCGGGAGGCCGGGUGAACGCUGCCCGAUGCGGAGAGUGGGCCCGGGCCCCGCAGGUCCCGGAGAGCGGCAGGUGGGCGGGCUGCAUCCCUCCGGUGCUCCCGCGAGCGGUGCCACUGGACAGUCGGCUGCCCGCCGUCGCCCCGGAGACCGCCCGGCCCCUCCGCGUAUCCCUGGCCCCGCCGCCGCCUCCCGGGCCUACCUUGCUGGUGAGGUCCAGCUCCGGCUCGCCGUUGAGCGCCUCGCCGUCCUCGCUGCAGUCCGAAUCGAAGCCGCCAUGGAGUCGGGCCGCGGCCGCGGCGGCCCGAGCCGCCCCCGGAGAGCUGGGCUCGGGGGCGAACAUCGAGGCCGGCACCGGCGAGUCCACCGGGGAGCGACUCCGCUCCGCCGCCAUCUUUAAGAACUUAGGCUAAUUCGCAGCCGGCCGCCCGCCCUCCCUCCCUGGCUCAUUUAACUAAUUUAUGCUGGGCCCCGCCCCUUCUUGGUGGAAUAAUUUAUGCGCAGCUUCCCCCGCCUCCCGGGGAUGUCACGUAUCUCUAGCGGAGACACAGAUGACCCAGUCUCUCAUCUACCAAUCGCCGCAGCUCCCUCAAGUACUUUAAUGAAUAAUUCAUGAGACCCAAACCCCAACAACAAACGUCGUAGUGGUCGGGAGCCUUGGUCCCGCCUCUGGUGGGGCCAACACAGCGUGCACGCUACCUGCCUGGAUCUUUCCCGCCAACGGGAGCGAAGCAGAGGUUUGACUGACUUGACAGCAAUCCAAUGAAAAGAGGCAUCCAUCCUUUACCCUCCCCUCACCUUCCAGAGGCGGGGCCAGCUUCCAAAUCAUACAGCAAAACAGUCCCGCCUGGAGCCUCUCAGAAUGAUGGACAAGGGCGGGACCCAAUCUUGUCCUCCCUAAGUCCCGCGCGUCUGGCCGCCGCACACCCCGAUAGUAAACUGCGAAAUGAGCCUGGCACUCUGACUGAUUGAAGGCAGUUGCUGCAAUACUAUGUCCGGCGUGCUGGCAUGCGCAGGGCAAUUUUUUAUAGUAGAAUCGAUGCUAUGUAUUCCAGGAAUUGUAAUAUUAUAGCAGCCAGACCAAGACAAUUAAUUAAAUGCUGACCUUAGGGAGUUCCAUUCAUUGACUCCUCGGAGAGCAACUGAGUGAACAGAAAGGAGAUGAUGACAGCCCAAACACCAGAGUAAAUCCCCUCACCACGUUUUUGGUGAAUGGGUGAGCUACAGGUCUAGGAUCUGUCAAGGUAGUUUCUUGUGGCUUAUUUUUCAGUUGCCACUUGUGGAAAGUCCCAGUCCAAAAAAACCGCCGUCCGUGUGCCUGAAAUUCCCGUUUCAAAUGUCUGAAAAAUUUAAACUUUAUUAGGUGAGUUCUGGUUUUUACCAAGAUCUAAUGCUGGCUGGACUUGGCCGCUGCUGGUGAGAGAGAGAGAGAGAGCAGCCAUCUAAGGAAGUACGGGAAAUUUAGGGAUUGAAUCACAGGAUGUAUAUAGUGAGCAAGGAAAGGGUUCAAUAUAGCCAUCACCUAAUUCAGGGAGUCUAUCUGAGCAGCAGAAUCUUGUCCUCAUUUUUAACUAUGUACCACCAAGUCUGUGAACAGAUGAUGCUGGAAACCUGACCUUAACGGUUUGUUACUGAAAUUUUUUUGUGUGUAAGAAUGGUGUGUGUGGUGCCACCUUUGUGCAGGGCCUGUAGAGUCUAGAUGGGGCACUGGAACCCUUUUGGACUAGAGUCACAGACGAUUGUUAGCCUCCAUAAUAAGGGUACUGGGAAUGCAACCCAGGUCUUCAGAACCUCUGAGCUACAUCUCCAGCCCCAGAGAUUCGGACUCUUGAAGUGAGAGGCAGUCUUGUGGACCGUAACCCUAUAUCUGUGGAUUCUGACAGUAUCCCCAAGUAUUAAGAAUUCAACUGGAGGCUGCUCACUGCUUGGCUGGAGGUGAUCAGAGGUGACAGUUGUAUUAACUCUAUUGCUUCGAUUGCUAUUUAGCAUCAUAUGAUCAGAAAAAGUUCAGUUUCAGAAUAUACUAUCUGAUGGGGGGGGGGAAUGUCCUUCUCACUAUAGGAUUUUGCCUAGAAAGGAUAUACAUUCUGAAUUCUUGCUUUUCGAAUUGAAUGGUUUGGAGAAUAAAU
Molecule: long non-coding RNA, 2898 nt
Filed under: Mus pahari (shrew mouse)
Lineage: Eukaryota; Metazoa; Chordata; Mammalia; Rodentia; Muridae
Description: lncRNA (MGP_PahariEiJ_G0004813.1)
Source: RNAcentral